AUAACGGGCUUUCAGCAACGACAGUAUCUGUCAUAAGUUCGGGGGACCCCUCCGCGCAAAACAAUAGUACCUGGGUACGCCCAGGUUAACUAAGGAUGCGGGGCCCCACAAGCAUUGAUUUAUGUGUUUAUUCGAAGCAACGCGACGACCUUACCAGUCUUGACAUCGUAUCAUAACUUAGAGAUAAGUGAAUCCGUCGGGACAUAUAGACAGGUGGUGCAUGGUGUCGUCAGCUCGUGUCGUGAGAUGUUGGGUUAAGUCCCGCAACGAGCGCAACCCUUACCUUUAGUUGCUACGCAAGAGCACUCUAAAGGGACUGCCGUUGACAAAACGGAGGAAGGUGGGGAUGACGUCAAAUCAUCAUGCCCCUUAUGACCUGGGCUACACACGUACUACAAUGGCAAUUAACAAAGAGAAGCAAGACGGUGACGUGGAGCGAAUCUCCAAAAAAUGUCCCAGUUCAGAUUGCAGGCUGCAACUCGCCUGCAUGAAGUCGGAAUUGCUAGUAAUCGCGGAUCAGCAUGCCGCGGUGAAUACGUUCCCGGGCCUUGUACACACCGCCCGUCACACCAUGGGAGUCGGUAACACCCGAAGUCGGUAGUGAAACAGCAAUAGGACGCCGCCGAAGGUGGGAUUGAUGACUGGGGUGAAGUCGUAACAAGGUAGCCGUAUCGGAAGGUGC
This 682-nucleotide ribosomal RNA is filed under the name uncultured bacterium. RNAcentral describes it as "bacterial SSU rRNA". The stretch from base 72 to 682 matches the Rfam family "Bacterial small subunit ribosomal RNA", at positions 874 to 1515 of the family's 1533-position model. The record is from RNAcentral.